Molecule: ribosomal RNA, 244 nt
Filed under: uncultured bacterium
Lineage: Bacteria
Description: partial small subunit ribosomal RNA
Rfam family: Bacterial small subunit ribosomal RNA
Source: RNAcentral
AGAAUCAACGCUGGCGGCGUGCCUAACACAUGCAAGUCGCACGAGAAAGGGUAGCAAUACCUGAGUAAAGUGGCGCACGGGUGGGUAACACGUGAAUUAUCUACCUCCGAGUGGGGGAUAACUGAGGGAAACCUUAGCUAAUACCGCAUAAUACCCACGGGUCAAAGGAGCAAUUCGCUCGAGGAGGGGUCGCGGCCGAUUAGUUAGUUGGCGGGGUAAUGGCCCACCAAGACGAUGAUCGGUA